This 277-nucleotide long non-coding RNA is filed under the name Elaeis guineensis (African oil palm). RNAcentral describes it as "long non-coding RNA (EGUI_LNC069918)". Lineage: Eukaryota; Viridiplantae; Streptophyta; Magnoliopsida; Arecales; Arecaceae. The record is from RNAcentral.
UUCUUGCUCCGAGUCAUCAUUUAUCAAACUUCUUUUGUCUUCCGUCUUGCUCGAUGUCGGCAUUGUUUGAAGGUUUUCGAUCAUCACUGUGCUGAUUCGCCCUUAGGGAUUAAAGAUUUUCGACAAAGAUUUUCUUCCUUGUUGAGACGAGGUCCCUCGUGCCUUUGACGUAGUUCAUUUUCACUUAUUACUGGCAUAGUUCAUCGCUUUCUCUUUUCAUCUCUCCUUUUCUUCUGUGUUUGGGUGAGGGUCUUCCCUUUGCUCUUGACAGGGUCAC